RNAcentral lists this ribosomal RNA (468 nucleotides) under uncultured bacterium. RNAcentral describes it as "partial 16S ribosomal RNA". It matches the Rfam family "Bacterial small subunit ribosomal RNA", at positions 28 to 507 of the family's 1533-position model. The record is from RNAcentral.
GACGAACGCUGGCGGCGUGCUUAACACAUGCAAGUCGAACGGAAAGGCCCUGCUUUUGUGGGGUGCUCGAGUGGCGAACGGGUGAGUAACACGUGAGUAACCUGCCCUUGACUUUGGGAUAACUUCAGGAAACUGGGGCUAAUACCGGAUAGGAGCUCCUGCUGCAUGGUGGGGGUUGGAAAGUUUCUGCGGUUGGUGAUGGACUCGCGGCUUAUCAGCUUGUUGGUGGGGUAGUGGCUUACCAAGGCUUUGACGGGUAGCCGCCCUGCGGAGGUGACCGGCCACCUUAGGAGUGCUGAGAGGCCGACCCUCCUCCUGCAGGCGGCAGUGGUGAAUAAUUCACCAUGAUGGGCGGAAUGCUGACGCAGCGCUGCGUGCGGGAUGAAGGACUUCGAGUUGUAGACCGCUUCUGCCUGCGACGAAGCGUGAGUGACGGUAACUGGUGAAGAAGCACCGGCUAACUACGUG